UGGGGAAUAUUGGACAAUGGGGGCAACCCUGAUCCAGCAAUGCCGCGUGUGUGAAGAAGGUCUUCGGAUCGUAAAGCACUUUCGACAGGGACGAUGAUGACGGUACCUGUAGAAGAAGCCCCGGCUAACUUCGUGCCAGCAGCCGCGGUAAUACGAAGGGGGCUAGCGUUGCUCGGAAUUACUGGGCGUAAAGGGCGCGUAGGCGGCUUGACCAGUCAGGCGUGAAAUUCCUGGGCUUAACCUGGGGACUGCGCUUGAUACUGUUAGGCUUGAGGCCGAGAGAGGGUGGUGGAAUUCCCAGUGUAGAGGUGAAAUUCGUAGAUAUUGGGAAGAACACCGGUGGCGAAGGCGACCACCUGGCUCGGUACUGACGCUGAGGCGCGACAGCGUGGGGAGCAAACAGG
RNAcentral lists this ribosomal RNA (404 nucleotides) under uncultured bacterium. RNAcentral's name for it is "bacterial SSU rRNA". It matches the Rfam family "Bacterial small subunit ribosomal RNA", at positions 355 to 776 of the family's 1533-position model. The record is from RNAcentral.